This 379-nucleotide ribosomal RNA is filed under the name uncultured cyanobacterium. RNAcentral's name for it is "bacterial SSU rRNA". It matches the Rfam family "Bacterial small subunit ribosomal RNA", at positions 376 to 770 of the family's 1533-position model. Lineage: Bacteria; Bacillati; Cyanobacteriota. The record is from RNAcentral.
CGAAAGCCUGACGGAGCAACGCCGCGUGGGGGAGGAAGGCUCUUGGGUUGUAAACCCCUUUUCUCAGGGAAGAAGCUCUGACGGUACCUGAGGAAUCAGCCUCGGCUAACUCCGUGCCAGCAGCCGCGGUAAUACGGAGGAGGCAAGCGUUAUCCGGAAUUAUUGGGCGUAAAGCGUCCGCAGGUGGCUAUUUAAGUCUGCUGUCAAAGACCGGGGCUCAACUCCGGGUCGGCAGUGGAAACUGGAUAGCUAGAGUACGGUAGGGGUAGAGGGAAUUCCCGGUGUAGCGGUGAAAUGCGUAGAGAUCGGGAAGAACACCGGUGGCGAAGGCGCUCUACUGGACCGUGACUGACACUCAGGGACGAAAGCUAGAGGAGCG